This 1272-nucleotide ribosomal RNA is filed under the name Hemisodorcus sinensis. RNAcentral describes it as "16S ribosomal RNA". The stretch from base 1032 to 1190 matches the Rfam family "Bacterial large subunit ribosomal RNA", at positions 2473 to 2632 of the family's 2925-position model. Lineage: Eukaryota; Metazoa; Arthropoda; Insecta; Coleoptera; Lucanidae. The record is from RNAcentral.
UAUUUAAAGUUUUAUUAUGAGAAGAUUUUUAAAAGAAAUUAAUGGUUUGAGUAGUGUAUUUGAAAGGAUUAUUUUUUAUUAUAGAUUAUUAGUACGGUGAAGGAAUAUUUAAAAUUUUUAAAAGAAUACUUUAUUUGUGGUACCUUUUGUAUCAGGGCUUAUUAAAAAGAAGCCUGGGUUUAGGUUUUCUCGAAUUUAUAGGAGCUAAGAGUAUAUAUAUAUUAAUGUUGAACAAUUAUUUAUAAUAUUUUCUUUGGUAUUAGACGUUAGUCGUCUUUAAAUAUAUCUAGUUUUUUAGGAAAUUAAUUUAAUUAAGUUAAUUUGUAGGAGGGUUUUAAUAAGAAAUUGAUCUGUGAAUUAAGUAAUGUUUAGGGGGAUAAGCUUUUAAACAAAUUUCUAUAAUUAUAAAUUUACUGAAAAUUGAAUAGGAAUAGAAGUUUUCAUUUUUUGUAGUGUUUUACAGCAAGAUUUUUGUUGAGGUAAUUUUUUAUUUUUUUUAGGUUUUUUACUAAAAUAUUAGAUGGAGUAAAUAUUUCUAAGUGAUAAUGAUGAGAUUAGUAUAGUUUAUUGUUUUUAAUAUGAGUGUAUGUAAGGUUUAAUUAAGUAACUCGGCAAAUUUAUUUUCUGCCUGUUUAUUAAAAACAUGGCCUUUUGGGAAUAAUUUAAGGUCCGACCUGCCCAAUGAUUAAAUUAAAUGGCCGCGGUACUCUGACCGUGCAAAGGUAGCAUAAUCAUUAGUUUUUUAAUUGAAAGCUUGUAUGAACGGUCAAACAAGAAAAUUACUGUCUCGAUUAAAUGGUUUUGGAAUUUUAUUUUUUAGUAAGAAAGCUAAAAUGUUUUUAUGGGACGAGAAGACCCUAUAGAAUUUUAUAAAUUUUCUAGGAUUAUAUUUUUGGUUUAAUUAUUUUGGUUUAGGGAAAUUUAUUUUGUUGGGGUGAUGGAAAAAUUUGAUAAACUUUUUUUUUAUAUAUUUCACUUAUGCGUGUUUAUGUGAUCCAUUUUUUGUGAUUAUAAGAUUAAAUUACCUUAGGGAUAACAGCGUUAUUAAUUUGGAGAGUUCUUAUCGAUAAAUUAGUUUGCGACCUCGAUGUUGGAUUAAAAUAAACUUUUGGCGUAGGGGCUGAAAAGUUAAGUCUGUUCGACUUUUAAAAUUUUACAUGAUCUGAGUUUAAACCGGCGUGAGCCAGGUUGGUUUCUAUCUUUAGAUAGAUUUAAUAUUUUAGUACGAAAGGACCAGAUAUUAGUUUAAGAAAUUAGUUUUAGGAUAUUAUU